This 465-nucleotide ribosomal RNA is filed under the name uncultured bacterium. RNAcentral describes it as "partial 16S ribosomal RNA". It matches the Rfam family "Bacterial small subunit ribosomal RNA", at positions 338 to 795 of the family's 1533-position model. The record is from RNAcentral.
CCUACGGGAGGCAGCAGUGGGGAAUAUUGCGCAAUGGGCGAAAGCCUGACGCAGCGACGCCGCGUGAGGGAUGAAGGUCUUCGGAUCGUAAACCUCUGUCAGCAGGGAAGAACGGUCACUGUGCUAAUCAGCAGUGAAUUGACGGUACCUGCAAAGGAAGCACCGGCUAACUCCGUGCCAGCAGCCGCGGUAAUACGGAGGGUGCGAGCGUUAGUCGGAAUUACUGGGCGUAAAGCGCUCGUAGGCGGUAUGUCAAGUCAAGGGUGAAAUCCCCGCGCUCAACGUGGGAACUGCCUUUGAAACUGGCAAACUGGAGUGUGUGAGAGGAUAGUGGAAUUCCAGGUGUAGGAGUGAAAUGCGUAGAUAUCUGGAGGAACAUCAGUGGCGAAGGCGACUAUCUGGCACAUAACUGACGCUGAGGAGCGAAAGCGUGGGUAGCAAACAGGAUUAGAUACCCUAGUAGUC